RNAcentral lists this ribosomal RNA (285 nucleotides) under Triticum aestivum (bread wheat). RNAcentral describes it as "partial small subunit ribosomal RNA". Lineage: Eukaryota; Viridiplantae; Streptophyta; Magnoliopsida; Poales; Poaceae. The record is from RNAcentral.
AUGACGAACAUGGCUUCAACGACAGCGUGUCUCGCAGAGACGGGCUACGGCUCGGCGGUGCAGUACGGUGAUCGAUUACAAGAACCUUUGAAACAGCACACUGGACAACACAACCCAUGCUCCCCAAUUGAUUCACAGGCUAUCAGAUCGGCUGAUUGCAAUGGCAAAGAUAGAGCGGAGCAGUCAAGGCUGAGGAAUGAGGAGCAGAGAGCCAAGCGGUGGAGAAAAAUAAAGAUGAACGAGGAUAGACGUAGCAAUGAAUGGAUAAGAAGGCAGAAAGGAUAA